This is a long non-coding RNA of Mercurialis annua (annual mercury), 465 nucleotides long. RefSeq lists it as uncharacterized. The transcript is spliced from 2 exons. The record is from RefSeq and is a predicted model, not a curated record. NCBI's taxonomy places the organism in Eukaryota, Viridiplantae, Streptophyta, Magnoliopsida, Malpighiales, Euphorbiaceae.
UGUAGGCGGCGUUCUAAACUUUAAGAAUGUCGAUUUCGUUCAGGGGUCAACCUAUUUUAGAUAAGCGUUUUUAAUGACCGAAGUAGGUUGAUCGAACUAGUUUUAGAUGCGUAAUCGUAAUUAGAUUUGUUAUUAAUUCGUAGCGUUAUCGAAUUUGCGUAGACUCGAAGGAGCGACUAUCGAUAAGGCUCGAGGCAAACGGAUCGAGAUAUUGUCAAGCUUAUUUGAAGAAUUUGGAUAGCAAGUGGGAUAGCAUGAUAUUAUUUGGAAAGUCAAGCUUCCGAAGUUUUAAUUUUCGGAAGUCAUUUGCACAAGAAGUGAAAGAAGGUUUUCAUUCUAGCAGUCCGCAGUAGUCUAGAUGUUUUUGUCUAUGUAUUUGACUAGCGCAUUUUAACUCUGAUAUUUUUGUAAAAUGGGGUCACAUGUAUUUUGAUAUAUGAAAAAAAUGAUUUGAUUUGCGAAAAA